Molecule: long non-coding RNA, 1007 nt
Organism: Symphalangus syndactylus (siamang)
Lineage: Eukaryota; Metazoa; Chordata; Mammalia; Primates; Hylobatidae
Source: RefSeq, a predicted model, not a curated record
AUCAGACUUCCAGAAUGUUAGGGCUGAAAGAUCAUUGCAUCCGAAUGCCCUCCACCGCUCACUUGUGGGACCUGAGGUGCAGAGAGGAGAGGAUGAGUGAAUGCAGAUACAUCCAAGGUGGCACCGAAGAGGGUUUUAGGUGAUACAUGGACAAACAUUUUGUUAUUGUAAUAGCUAUAUUUAAACAGACUGUACUGUUGCUUAGGCUGAGGCUAAAUUUAUUUAAGUAAAAUAGUCCAAUAAAGAAAAACACAAAGCAAAAAUAUCUUACAGAUUAUAGAAAAUGAUGAAAGUAGUACAGGAAUGAGUGACAUUUGAAAUACUACGUUGAUGAAUGAGUGGGUGAAUGGAUGAAUGAAUGAAUAAAUCAGUGGAUAAGGUACAACACUGGAAUCUUUAGGAUUCAUUUUCUUACAGACAUGGAAUUAUUUCCCAGUCCUUGCACUUCAAGUCAGAGAAUCAUCAUGAUCCCACGGAACACCAGCCCAGCCCCCAGCAGGUGCUAUACUUUUGACGACAUGGAACACAAAUGGUUUACCGUGCAGUUCUCUUUUUUUCAGCAAACCUGCUGAACGUGGAUUUUGGAGUUGAGCCAAUUCAGGUUCCAACCCCUGAGCAGACAUCAACUGGAACUGGAAGCUUCACUCUCUGGGCCUCAGUUUCCUCUUCAUCCAAGGAGGAUAGUGCUCUGGGAUCCUAGGACAUAUGAGGGUUCCAUAAGACCUACCUUCCGUCUUCCCACCCUGACCAACUGAGAAACCUCAAGCUUUGGACUUGUCCAUGCUGCCCUCUAACCCUAGAUCACAGCUCUGAGUGUGAAUACUGCCAGCCUAGAAGAGAACAUUCAUGCUAGAUGCAGUGGCUCACACCUGUAAUCCCAGCACUUUGGGAGGCAGAGGUGAGUGGAUCACUUGAGUCCAGGAGUUUGAGACCAGCCUGAGCAACAUGGCAAAACCUCAUUUCUACAAAAAAUACCAAAAAAAAAAAAAAAUUAUCCAGGCAUGGUG